UUCUUAGCUACAGUGCAUAAAUCCACCAUUAACUAAGGGCUUAGGUAAAAUAUAGAAGUGCGCGUGCGCCGCAUAGAAUUUCAAUAUUAACGAGUACCAAUUUCUAUCAUUUUAUGUGCAUUCGUGUUAAUCGAUGAAAAUUAUUAGGUGUAUCUGAAAAAAUAAAUUUAAUUUUUUCACAAUCAAUAUCAAUGUCAAACAUCAAAGUAUGGAACAAGUAGAAAGUGGUUCGAGCACGUGCGCAGAACUAACAAGAGAGUGCUUGAACGCCACUGAAUUCUUAGGUUUAGUUGUUAGGUAAGAUGCUUGAAGAGUUGAAAUGGAAAUGUUAAUGCUCAUAAUAAAACCCAGAUUCAAAACAUUCCUUGAUUCAUAACUAAUCAACAUCACAACAUAUUUCAUCAGAUUAAAGCAUUCUCAAUAGAAUGUAUUAGCCUGUGAAAGCAAUAUGCCUCAGAGCCUAGGGUCUCAUCUGCAAAGCGAUGCAAGUAGAAGCCACGUGAGGGCCAGUCCAUGUUGUUAUAGGUCUAUGGAAGAAUCUGAUCGCAGAAUAUUCAUCUUGGGAAAUUCUUCAUUCUAUUGAAACUAUGUAAGAAAUGAGGUAUAUUUAUUUAUUACUAAUUAAUUAAAAACAUUGUAUUUUACGAGAGUUUAUUUACUGUAUAUUGUUUACAUAAGAAAUCUACUAAAAUAACUCAUAAAAUGGAAAUUAUUUCUUAAAAAAAUUAUGAAACUAGCUUGUUUUCAUUUUCUUCUUGAGAAGACAUACCGCCUGCUUCCUCUGGUCUAUGUUUCCUGUGACGUGGAUUGCCAGCUAUCUCACCAUUGCUUUGGUGGUCAUCUAAUGGGUCUUCUUCCGAGGGGUUUGUUGUCCCUGGUGAUCUUUGCCAUUCUGUCCACAUGCUGGUUCCAUCUGACCACAUCGUCCACUUGGCACUUCUCUCUUAUAAUAUAAUUUUUCUGUCUGUCCGACAGUUUGUAUCUUGUUAUUGUUCUUAGGAUCUUCAUUUCAGUUGUUCGCAAUACCCUCUUUGCUGUAGAUAUUUCGGCUAUGGUCUCCGCUCCAUUGAUAGUUUUCAUUUUGAAAUAUAAUAAUUCACUUAUAUUCUAUAUUCAAGUUAAAUAUCGAUUUUGUAAUAUUAAUCCUUACUAAGAAACAAUUAACCACGCCACUGGAAUGUUUACUGCACCUCCAUUUGUCAAUUUUGCGGGUUUGUUGUUUUCCUACCUCACUUUAUCAUCUUACU
This is a long non-coding RNA of Harmonia axyridis, 1247 nucleotides long. RefSeq lists it as uncharacterized. Lineage: Eukaryota; Metazoa; Arthropoda; Insecta; Coleoptera; Coccinellidae. The transcript has 2 exons. The record is from RefSeq and is a predicted model, not a curated record.